Molecule: long non-coding RNA, 834 nt
Organism: Bombyx mori (domestic silkworm)
Lineage: Eukaryota; Metazoa; Arthropoda; Insecta; Lepidoptera; Bombycidae
Exons: 2
Source: RefSeq, a predicted model, not a curated record
CUUGCAAGCUCUUUAUUUUUAGAUACUACAUUUUUUAUUUGCAAUAUCUUGUGACUUUAUCUAAUCAGACAAUAUUAAUACACUGAGGUUUAUGUGAUUGUCUGAGUCUUUUAAAUUCAGUUCUGAUAUUAAAUUAGCUUAGCAGAUAGAUCUAGAUAGUGACUGAUACAGAUUUUUUUUAAAUUUCAUUAAUAAAGCGAAUUAAAUUAAUAGUUAAAUAUGGGAAUUAAUAACAGAGAAAAUCGCCGGAUCCCCACCCGCGCGGCAGGUGGGGUAUGUGGGAGUUGAACCUCACUAAAAACUCCUGCCGCUCACGACCGGCGCCCUACCUCGGACCGGGCCGGAGCCCAGUCGGGGCUAUUGAAACGGCGGGACAGGGUUGACGCAGAGCACAUUACAUCCAUCCCACCGUCUCACGGACGCCGGACCGGUGGCCGCCAGCGACAAGACCACCGGUUCCCCCGUUCAGCGGGCCGAGAGACGGGCAUGACCUGGAGUGAUGUCAAGGAGCAAGCGCAAAAUAGGGUCAAGUGGAUACAACUUAUGAAGGCCCUAUGCACCAGCUUGGUAUCUUAGGACUAUUACAACAAAAACAACAGUGCAGAGAUAUUACAACAAAAGCCGCAGCAUCGCAAUACAAAGCUAUUUUUUAAAUUAACUAAUGCAUACUACAAUGCCCUAUAUUAUUUUUAAUUGCUAUUCUGAGGCAGUCAUUCCUGAAGAAAGUAGAAGAACAAAGUUUAUUCAUAAACUAUUUAUAUAAGCCUGUUGUGAAUUCUGGAAAAUGUUUUAUCUAAUUAUUCUAUUAUAAUCUAUUCUAUUCUAUUUAUAAUC